RNAcentral lists this ribosomal RNA (1343 nucleotides) under uncultured bacterium. RNAcentral describes it as "16S ribosomal RNA". It matches the Rfam family "Bacterial small subunit ribosomal RNA", at positions 28 to 1378 of the family's 1533-position model. The record is from RNAcentral.
GACGAACGCUGGCGGCGUGCUUAACACAUGCAAGUCGAACGGAAAGGCCCUGCUUUUGUGGGGUGCCCGAGUGGCGAACGGGUGAGUAACACGUGAGUAACCUGCCCUUGACUUUGGGAUAACUUCAGGAAACUGGGGCUAAUACCGGAUAGGAGCUCCUGCUGCAUGGUGGGGGUUGGAAAGUUUCGGCGGUUGGGGAUGGACUCGCGGCUUAUCAGCUUGUUGGUGGGGUAGUGGCUUACCAAGGCUUUGACGGGUAGCCGGCCUGAGAGGGUGACCGGCCACAUUGGGACUGAGAUACGGCCCAGACUCCUACGGGAGGCAGCAGUGGGGAAUAUUGCACAAUGGGCGGAAGCCUGAUGCAGCAACGCCGCGUGCGGGAUGACGGCCUUCGGGUUGUAAACCGCUUUCGCCUGUGACGAAGCGUGAGUGACGGUAAUGGGUAAAGAAGCACCGGCUAACUACGUGCCAGCAGCCGCGGUGAUACGUAGGGUGCGAGCGUUGUCCGGAUUUAUUGGGCGUAAAGGGCUCGUAGGUGGUUGAUCGCGUCGGAAGUGUAAUCUUGGGGCUUAACCCUGAGCGUGCUUUCGAUACGGGUUGACUUGAGGAAGGUAGGGGAGAAUGGAAUUCCUGGUGGAGCGGUGGAAUGCGCAGAUAUCAGGAGGAACACCAGUGGCGAAGGCGGUUCUCUGGGCCUUUCCUGACGCUGAGGAGCGAAAGCGUGGGGAGCGAACAGGCUUAGAUACCCUGGUAGUCCACGCUGUAAACGGUGGGUACUAGGUGUGGGGUCCAUUCCACGGGUUCCGUGCCGUAGCUAACGCUUUAAGUACCCCGCCUGGGGAGUACGGCCGCAAGGCUAAAACUCAAAGGAAUUGACGGGGCCCCGCACAAGCGGCGGAGCAUGCGGAUUAAUUCGAUGCAACGCGUAGAACCUUACCUGGGUUUGACAUGGAUCGGGAGUGCUCAGAGAUGGGUGUGCCUCUUUUGGGGUCGGUUCACAGGUGGUGCAUGGCUGUCGUCAGCUCGUGUCGUGAGAUGUUGGGUUAAGUCCCGCAACGAGCGCAACCCUUGUUCACUGUUGCCAGCACGUUAUGGUGGGGACUCAGUGGAGACCGCCGGGGUCAACUCGGAGGAAGGUGGGGAUGACGUCAAGUCAUCAUGCCCCUUAUGUCCAGGGCUUCACGCAUGCUACAAUGGCUGGUACAGAGAGUGGCGAGCCUGUGAGGGUGAGCGAAUCUCGGAAAGCCGGUCUCAGUUCGGAUUGGGGUCUGCAACUCGACCUCAUGAAGUCGGAGUCGCUAGUAAUCGCAGAUCAGCAACGCUGCGGUGAAUACGUUCCUGGG